RNAcentral lists this long non-coding RNA (640 nucleotides) under Mytilus galloprovincialis (Mediterranean mussel). Lineage: Eukaryota; Metazoa; Mollusca; Bivalvia; Mytilida; Mytilidae. The record is from RNAcentral.
UAACGUAACGAUACCCAAAUUGCACCGAGUACCCAAAUUGCACCUAUUUAGUAAAACUAGAAGCGAAAAUCUUACAAGAUUUCCUAGAGACUAAACAAUUUGUAUUUUUAUGAUUUGAUACUAAGCACAUCUUUCAACAUAGGUAAAACUAUUUAGAUAUGCACAAAACGUUCACAGUAUUUAUCAACAGAUGAAGUAUUUACUGAAAAAGCAAAAUGUACUGAAACGUCGCCAUGCGACGUCAUCAAAACGUCAUCUUUUUAAAAUGAGCAAAUACAAUAUGUUACAAGUAUCCAUUUAAAAAAUAAUGAAGAGUAAGCAUGGACUAAUAUCCAAUUGUUCAAAAUAUUUGAAGAAAUUAAACAAAAGCUCAGUUAUUAGACUUUUGACGAUGUGAAUUUAAGCAUGGAUGCAAUUUGGGUACUCCUCAUUUCAGAAUCAUUGAUGGUUUGGAGGUCAGUUUAGACCAAUUUUUCUAUGAUUCCAUAUGGAAUAAAAAUCAAAUUGGUGUACCUUUAUAAUAAAGAAGGAUACGGCUACAAAAUAAACACAGAAUGGACAUUUUUGUCUUUAUCAUAAAAAAACGUAGAUGAAAAAACUGUCAAAAUAGGUGCAAUUUGGGUACCGUCACGUUAUACAA